RNAcentral lists this ribosomal RNA (403 nucleotides) under Fusobacteriota bacterium. Its description in RNAcentral is "Fusobacteria bacterium partial 16S ribosomal RNA". It matches the Rfam family "Bacterial small subunit ribosomal RNA", at positions 355 to 776 of the family's 1533-position model. Lineage: Bacteria; Fusobacteriati; Fusobacteriota. The record is from RNAcentral.
UGGGGAAUUUUGCACAAUGGAGGAAACUCUGAUGCAGCGACGCCGCGUGAGUGAUGAAGAUCUUCGGAUUGUAAAACUCUGUCCUUAGUGAAGAUAAUGACAGUAACUAAGAAGCAAGCCCUGGCCAAAUACGUGCCAGCAGCCGCGGUAAUACGUAUGGGGCAAGCGUUGUCCGGAAUUAUUGGGCGUAAAGGGUACGUAGGCGGUUUAAUAAGUCCUAAUUAAAAGGCUAUGGCUCAACCAUAGUAUGGUUAGGAAACUGUUGAACUUGAGGAGAUGAGGGGAAAGUGGAAUUCCAUGUGUAGCGGUGAAAUGCGUAGAUAUAUGGAGGAACACCAAUGGCGAAGGCAACUUUCUGGAAUCAAACUGACGCUGAGGUACGAAGGCGUGGGGAGCAAACAGG